UUGGCUAAAGCUUUGAAGAAGCGUGAGAUUUUUAAUCUUAAGAUCCCGGGCUAGGGUGGCUAAA
RNAcentral lists this transfer RNA (64 nucleotides) under Perna perna. RNAcentral's name for it is "tRNA-Lys". The record is from RNAcentral. Lineage: Eukaryota; Metazoa; Mollusca; Bivalvia; Mytilida; Mytilidae.